GAUGAACGCUGGCGGCGUGCCUAAUACAUGCAAGUCGAGCGAACAGAUGAGGAGCUUGCUCCUCUGACGUUAGCGGCGGACGGGUGAGUAACACGUGGAUAACCUACCUAUAAGACUGGGAUAACUUCGGGAAACCGGAGCUAAUACCGGAUAAUAUAUUGAACAGCAUGGUUCAAUAGUGAAAGACGGUUUUGCUGUCACUUAUAGAUGGAUCCGCGCCGCAUUAGCUAGUUGGUAAGGUAACGGCUUACCAAGGCAACGAUGAGUAGCCGACCUGAGAGGGUGAUCGCCAACACUGGAACUGAGACACGGUCCAGACUCCUACGGGGGGCAGCAGUAGGGAAUCUUCCGCAAUGGGCGAAAGCCUGACGAAGCAACGCCGCGUGAGUGGUGACAGUCUACGGAUCGUAAAACUCUGUUAUUAGGGAAGAACAAAUGUGUAAGUAACUAUGCACGUCUUGACGGUACCUAAUCAGAAAGCCACGGCUAACUACGUG
This 497-nucleotide ribosomal RNA is filed under the name uncultured bacterium. RNAcentral describes it as "partial 16S ribosomal RNA". It matches the Rfam family "Bacterial small subunit ribosomal RNA", at positions 28 to 507 of the family's 1533-position model. The record is from RNAcentral.